GAGACACAAUCCGCAGCCCCUGGGUCUGUGCAGUGACCAGCCAGUCCCCUGAGAACUUUCCCCUCCAGCACCAGGGAAAAUGGGAUUUUUGCUCCUUUUAAUUUUCGCUGUAGCAGCUUUGGAAGGUGUCCGGUCCCAGUCACUGGUGGAGUCCG
Long non-coding RNA from Trachemys scripta elegans, 155 nucleotides. RefSeq lists it as uncharacterized. Lineage: Eukaryota; Metazoa; Chordata; Testudines; Emydidae. The transcript has 4 exons. The record is from RefSeq and is a predicted model, not a curated record.